UUUUUUUUUUUUUUUUUUUUUUUGACAGUCUCACUCUGUUGCCCAGGCUGGAGUGCAGUGGUGUAAUCUUGGUUUAUUGCAACCUCCGCCUCCCAGAUUCAAAUGAGUCUCCUGCCUCAGCCUCCCAAGUAGCUGGGAUUAUAGGCAUGUGCCAUCACACCUGGCUAAUUUUGUAUUUUUAGUAGAGACAGGGUUUCACUAUGUUGGCCAGGCUGGUCUUGAACUCCUGACCUCAGGUGAUCUGCCCACCUCAGCUUCUCAAAGUGCUGAGAUUAUAGGCUUGAGCCACUGCUCCCGGCCUGAAAAUGUUCCUUUACACAAAAUUUUUAGAGGCUACUAGUCAUUUUUUUUUUGUCAACAAUGUUUCAAAAACACCAAAUCUAUUUCACAUUUUAUCUGCCAUCGUUUAUUUUACUGCAUUCUGCUUUCAUUGCUAUUUUCUUUCUCUCCUCCCUUGACAUGGCCUGUGACAUACUGAUAAACACACACACAAGUGCAUACACAAACAUGCUAUGUUCCCUAUCUUAGCUGUUGUCAGCUUAGAAGUUGUUAUUGCUCUCCCAGGUCACUUAGCUCAACGCCCCCUUCCCUCAUCUUCUUGCACUUGUUUUAUUCCUAGAGAGGGUCCGCACACCCUCCCAGAGACUAUCUGCUCACACUUGGCCCAGAUAGUAGUUUCUGCGGCUUAGCCUGUAUGUGGUUCUGUCGUCCAUUUAUAUCUGCUUUGGAGCUCCACAAUCUUUGUGUGUGUGUGUGUGUGUGUGUGUGUGUGUGUGUGUGUGUGUGUAUUUCAUUUCAUUGCCCAGGCUGGAGUGCAGUGGUGCUAUCAUGGCUCACUGCCACCUUGACCUCCUGGGCUCAAGCAAUCCUCCCAGCUUUGGCCUCCCAAAAUGCUGGGAUUUCAAGCAUGAGCCACCAUGCCUGGCCUCAUUUAUGUUUUUGGAAACCACUCUAAUAAGCUUCUUCUACACUUUAAAAAUGCUGUAUUUAAGUUUUCUUCCAUUUAUAUAGGGACAAGGCCAGUUUUUCUUCUUAUAUGUACAUUGUUUUGGGGAAAGGGUAUAUGAUGGUAGUUUACAAACACUUAUUACGCACACAUACACACACACACACCACAGUUACCAUCUAUAUAUACAUAUCUAUUUAUAUGUUGUCUCACUUCGUUAGCUCCUAAUAACUCCUAUCAUUUGUGGUGAGUUGUAUUCAAAUUUUACUGUAAUUUAUGCUUCACAAACUUCUUAAGAGGUAGUACUGUUAUGUCCACCUAACGCAGGAGUCUCAGCCACUGGGCCAUGGACCAGUGCUGGUCCGUGGUCUGUUAGGAACCUGUCUGCAUAGCAGGAGGUGAGCAGUGGGGUGAGCAAGCAUUACCACCUGAGCUCUGCCUCCUGAGAGAUCAGUAGCAGCAUUAGAGUCACAGGAGCUCGAACCCUAUUGUACUGCACGUGCGAGGAAUCUAGGUUAUGUGCUCUUCAUGAGAAUCUAACUAAUGCCUGAUGAUCUGAGCUGGAACAGUUUCAUCCAUAAACCAUCAUUCCCUUGCCAUCCCAUCGGUGGAAAAA
Molecule: long non-coding RNA, 1562 nt
Organism: Macaca fascicularis (crab-eating macaque)
Lineage: Eukaryota; Metazoa; Chordata; Mammalia; Primates; Cercopithecidae
Source: Ensembl